This 305-nucleotide ribosomal RNA is filed under the name uncultured bacterium. RNAcentral's name for it is "bacterial SSU rRNA". It matches the Rfam family "Bacterial small subunit ribosomal RNA", at positions 342 to 664 of the family's 1533-position model. The record is from RNAcentral.
GCCUAGGCAGCAGUGGGGAAUAUUGCGCAAUGGGGGAAACCCUGAUGCAGCGACGCCGCGUGCGUGAAGAAGUAUCUCGGUACGUAAAGCUCUAUCAGCAGGGAAGAAAAUGACGGUACCUGACUAAGAAGCCCCGGCUAACUACGUGCCAGCAGCCGCGGUAAUACGUAGGGGGCAAGCGUUAUCCGGAUUUACUGGGUGUAAAGGGAGCGUAGACGGCAGCGCAAGUCUGGAGUGAAAUGCCGGGGCCCAACCCCGGAACUGCUUUGGAAACUGUGCAGCUCGAGUGCAGGAGAGGUAAGCGG